RNAcentral lists this ribosomal RNA (207 nucleotides) under uncultured bacterium. RNAcentral's name for it is "partial 16S ribosomal RNA". It matches the Rfam family "Bacterial small subunit ribosomal RNA", at positions 568 to 774 of the family's 1533-position model. The record is from RNAcentral.
CUCGUAGGCGGUUUGUCGCGUCUGCUGUGAAAUCCCGAGGCUCAACCUCGGGCCUGCAGUGGGUACGGGCAAACUAGAGUGUGGUAGGGGAGAUUGGAACUCCUGGUGUAGCGGUGGAAUGCGCAGAUAUCAGGAAGAACACCGAUGGCGAAGGCAGAUCUCUGGGCCAUUACUGACGCUGAGGAGCGAAAGCGUGGGGAGCGAACA